GGUUAUGUAGCUCAGUGGUAGAGCGCAUGCUUUGAAUAAAUAACACUCUAGGUUCAAUCCCUGGCAUAUCCA
This 72-nucleotide transfer RNA is filed under the name Xenopus laevis (African clawed frog). It matches the Rfam family "tRNA". Rfam says of the family: Transfer RNA (tRNA) molecules are approximately 80 nucleotides in length. Their secondary structure includes four short double-helical elements and three loops (D, anti-codon, and T loops). Lineage: Eukaryota; Metazoa; Chordata; Amphibia; Anura; Pipidae. The record is from Rfam by way of RNAcentral.